AACGAACGCUGGCGGCAUGCCUAACACAUGCAAGUCGAACGAGACCUUCGGGUCUAGUGGCGCACGGGUGCGUAACGCGUGGGAACCUGCCCUUAGGUUCGGAAUAACUCCCCGAAAGGGGUGCUAAUACCGGAUAAUGUCUUCGGACCAAAGAUUUAUCGCCUUUGGAUGGGCCCGCGUUGGAUUAGCUAGUUGGUAGGGGAAAAGCCUACCAAGGCGACGAUCCAUAGCUGGUCUGAGAGGAUGAUCAGCCACACUGGGACUGAGACACGGCCCAGACUCCUACGGGAGGCAGCAGUGGGGAAUAUUGGACAAUGGGCGAAAGCCUGAUCCAGCAAUGCCGCGUGAGUGAUGAAGGCCUUAGGGUUGUAAAGCUCUUUUACCCGGGAUGAUAAUGACAGAACCGGGAGAAUAAACUCCGGCUAACUCCGU
RNAcentral lists this ribosomal RNA (432 nucleotides) under uncultured bacterium. RNAcentral describes it as "partial 16S ribosomal RNA". It matches the Rfam family "Bacterial small subunit ribosomal RNA", at positions 29 to 506 of the family's 1533-position model. The record is from RNAcentral.